This 71-nucleotide transfer RNA is filed under the name Asterias amurensis (Northern Pacific seastar). RNAcentral's name for it is "tRNA-Ser". It matches the Rfam family "tRNA". Rfam says of the family: Transfer RNA (tRNA) molecules are approximately 80 nucleotides in length. Lineage: Eukaryota; Metazoa; Echinodermata; Asteroidea; Forcipulatida; Asteriidae. The record is from RNAcentral.
GGAGAAAUGGUAGACAGGGAUACAUUUAGCUUGAAACUAAAAUGAUAAAGGUUCAAAUCCUUUUUUCUCUU